Molecule: ribosomal RNA, 437 nt
Filed under: Desertifilum sp.
Lineage: Bacteria; Bacillati; Cyanobacteriota; Cyanophyceae; Desertifilales; Desertifilaceae
Description: bacterial SSU rRNA
Rfam family: Bacterial small subunit ribosomal RNA
Source: RNAcentral
GCUUUCCUUUGGGAAUUUUUUCCGCAAUGGGCGAAAGCCUGACGGAGCAAGACCGCGUGGGGGAGGAAGGCCUUUGGGUUGUAAACCCCUUUUGUUAGGGAAGAAAAAAAUGACGGUACCAACGAAUCAGCCUCGGCUAACUCCUGCCAGCAGCCGCGGUAAUACGGAGGAGGCAAGCGUUAUCCGGAAUUAUUGGGCGUAAAGCGUCCUAGGUGGCCCGGCAAGUCUGCUGUCAAAGACCACAGCUCAACUGUGGAAAGGCAGUGGAAACGCAAGGCUAGAGUGCGGUAGGGGUAGAGGGAAUUCCCAGUGUAGCGGUGAAAUGCGUAGAGAUUGGGAAGAACACCGGUGGCGAAAGCGCUCUACUGGGCCGCAACUGACACUGAUAGACGCACAUCAUCGACGGCAGCGAAUGGGAUUAGAUACCCCUGUAGUCA